GACGAACGCUGGCGGCGUGCUUAACACAUGCCAGUCGAACGGAAAGGCCCUGCUUUUGUGGGGUGCUCGAGUGGCGAACGGGUGAGUAACACGUGAGUAACCUGCCCUUGACUUUGGGAUAACUUCAGGAAACCGGGGCUAAUGCCGGAUAGGAGCUCCUGCUGCAUGGUGGGGGUUGGAAAGUUUCGGCGGUUGGGGAUGGACUCGCGGCUUAUCAGCUUGUUGGUGGGGUAGUGGCUUACCAAGGCUUUGACGGGUAGCCGGCCUGAGAGGGUGACCGGCCACAUUGGGACUGAGAUACGGCCCAGACUCCUACGGGAGGCAGCAGUGGGGAAUAUUGCACAAUGGGCGGAAGCCUGAUGCAGCAACGCCGCGUGCGGGAUGACGGCCUUCGGGUUGUAAACCGCUUUCGCCUGUGACGAAGCGUGAGUGACGGUAAUGGGUAAAGAAGCACCGGCUAACUACGUG
Molecule: ribosomal RNA, 468 nt
Filed under: uncultured bacterium
Lineage: Bacteria
Description: partial 16S ribosomal RNA
Rfam family: Bacterial small subunit ribosomal RNA
Source: RNAcentral